RNAcentral lists this ribosomal RNA (301 nucleotides) under uncultured bacterium. Its description in RNAcentral is "partial 16S ribosomal RNA". It matches the Rfam family "Bacterial small subunit ribosomal RNA", at positions 509 to 807 of the family's 1533-position model. The record is from RNAcentral.
CAGUAGCCGCGGGAAUACAGAGGGUGCGAGCGUUAAUCGGAUUUACUGGGCGUAAAGCGUGCGUAGGCGGCUUCUUAAGUCGGAUGUGAAAUCCCUGAGCUUAACUUAGGAAUUGCAUUCGAUACUGGGAAGCUAGAGUAUGGGAGAGGAUGGUAGAAUUCCAGGUGUAGCGGUGAAAUGCGUAGAGAUCUGGAGGAAUACCGAUGGCGAAGGCAGCCAUCUGGCCUAAUACUGACGCUGAUGUACGAAAGCAUGGGGAGCAAACAGGAUUAGAUACCCCAGUAGUCCCUGUCUCUUAUAC